UACGAAGGGUGCAAGCGUUACUCGGAAUUACUGGGCGUAAAGAGCGUGUAGGCGGCCACGCAGGUCCGUUGUGAAAACUGAAGGCUCAACCUCCAGACGUCGACGGAAACCGUAUGGCUAGAGUCCGGAAGAGGAGAGUGGAAUUCCUGGUGUAGCGGUGAAAUGCGCAGAUAUCAGGAAGAACACCAAUGGCGAAAGCAGCUCUCUGGGACGGUACUGACGCUGAGACGCGAAAGCGUGGGGAGCGAACAGG
This 253-nucleotide ribosomal RNA is filed under the name uncultured bacterium. RNAcentral's name for it is "partial 16S ribosomal RNA". It matches the Rfam family "Bacterial small subunit ribosomal RNA", at positions 524 to 776 of the family's 1533-position model. The record is from RNAcentral.